UUACAUACGGAAAAUCCGUAUAUAAUGUGCGGAAAACUUUAUAUACGGAUUUUCUGUAUAUAAUAUCCGCGAGUAAUGAAUAAUUAAAAAAUAAAAGUUAAUAUUAUAAUCUGGUUAAAAGACUCUUCUCUCACUUUUCUCACUCCCUCCCUCGAACUAACUUUGUCCCCCUUCUCGAGCCCUAGCCUGUUUCUGCAUUGCCUCUUUCUCGACCCCGCUCAUUCUCACUCACUGCCAUCGUCAUUCUCACUCACUGCCAUCAUCAUUCUCACUCACUGCAACCAUCAUUCUCACUCACUGCAACCAUUAUUCUGGAGGCUUCUUCUCUUUCGUCGACCCUUCUUCUCGUUCUUGUGUUGUCACCCUCGUCGAGCCUUNUUCUCCUUCNCCGACCGUUCUUGUCUGUGCUACUGUUCUCCUCAAUCGUGAAUUCUACCACCUCCGUUAUAAUUUGUUGCUAGUUCUUAUCUGUAGUUGUCGUUUUCCAUGAGUGGAACUGGAGUUGUGCCCCUACUGGAACCCUAGUUGUGUGGUAGUGGAACCCUAGUUGUUGCGGAGUUCUUGAAUUGGUAAGUCAUGUUAAUUAAUUUCUAAAAACGUUAAUUUCAGAAACCCUAAUCUCAUUUUUUUGACUUCCAUACAUAUCCUUAAGUGUUUGAUCAGUCUAGGAUAUCUCAUUGGGAAGGCUUAAGUGUUGUAGAGUCAAGCAAAGGAUCAAUUGAAGUAAGGUAUGUUUACUGGUGACUUUUCCCCUAUCUUGUUUUGUUUGNUCCAUGUGUGUAUGGUGCGAUUGUCCUGUCUAUGGUGUGAUUGCUUUCCAGUCCUAAUUUCAAACAAAUCUCUAGAUGAUUUUGAUAGUUCCUU
RNAcentral lists this long non-coding RNA (864 nucleotides) under Vigna radiata. RNAcentral's name for it is "long non-coding RNA (VRAD_LNC012407)". Lineage: Eukaryota; Viridiplantae; Streptophyta; Magnoliopsida; Fabales; Fabaceae. The record is from RNAcentral.